AUGUUGAAGUCGAUCCCGAAAGGUGACUGGAACUCAGGCGAUGAGGAUUUUCAUGACAACAGCACAAAGACAACAAAGGUGAAGCAAAUGGACAGACAUCAGGACAGAAGAAAUGAGGGUGAAGAGCUAUUAGAAGAGGAUCGUGACCUUCUCUCCUCAAUUGAUGAAUUAAUUAAGGAAAUUGAGUCGAAUUUGCCUGACCCAAAUAAACCCACUAGUUCAUCUGAAUCAGAAGAUAGCGAUUGGGAACCCAUCCAGGAGGCAGUUAAUGAGCAAAUCGAUCUAGAAAUGGACAUCAAGUUUCUCAUUGAGGACUAUGAAAGAGCUCAUCAGGAUAUUUUAGUUGGCAGAAAUGAUAUGAGCAAAUUAUUACAAGAAAUUAAGGAAGAGAAACAACAACAAAGUGCUGAAUCUUCUGAUGCCCAUGAAGCCAAACAUCUGGAAGUCAACGCAGAACCUCCACAAGGGAAUAUUUUAGAGGACAAAGAGCUACAAGAAUUCUUCAAAUACUGCAACGGACCCUUUAUAGCUGAACCCCAUAUAAAGACACACAAGUCAGAGCUUCUAUCAGAAGAAAAGCUCCAAAACCUCAACCUAGAGGAAUGUUUGAACCUGCUGAAACGAUUUGAAGCAGAGCUUCAGCAAGAGAAGAGCAAGAACAAGGCUGCCCAAGAAGAACUGGAGAAGGUAAAACUUUCAAGUGCGGAGGAGAUUCAAAAGCAUAAAACUGAGCUGGAUAAUGUCCGACAGCAACUGAAGAGUCUUCAGUGUGAUCACCAAAAGACUAUCAAGGAACACUCAAACCUUUGCCAGCAAGAGCUGAAGAAGACCAAAGCUGCAUAUGAGGAACAGCUUCAGAAUCAUAAAGAAGAGCUCAAAGAUUUCAAACAAAAGUAUGAGAUUCUUCAGCGGGACCUCAAGAAAGCCCAGGAAACAAUUGAGAGGGAACAGCCCAGUGGCGAAGCUCCUCUAGAGCAGGAGCACCAAACCUGUAAAAAAGAUCUCAGACAGAAGUUUGACAGUUUCCGGGCUGACCUCAAAAAAUCCAAAAUGGAUCUUCAGUCUUCAGACUCCAGUCUUUUCAUGAGAGGCCUAGGGAGUAUGGGAAUGUCCUCAAACCAGGGGAUGUUUCAAAGCUUUAAAAUUGCAGAGACGAACUUCAGAAGCAGGGUCCUGAGUCUCCAGAGUGAGCUACAGGAAUCAAAAAAAGAAACCCAGCAGGAGAAGAAAUUGUAUGAUUGUCUCAAGAAAGAGAAGGACACCAUUCGGCUAGCAUAUAAGGAGCAGCAAAACCAGCUGAGUUACGCCAAAAUGCACUUUGAGAGCGUUCGUGCUCAGCUGGACGAUUACAAGACAAGGAGCGAGUCAAAAACCGAAGAGACGGAUCAUCUCAGGAAGGACCGGAAGAAGGUCAAAAAAUCCCACAACAAGGACCGUGAGAAGGCUGACAGUGAUACUGAACUAGAGCCUUGGAACGACGAGAAGAAGAGACAUGGUAAAGAUGUCAGCGCGCAGGAAGGAAACGAUGCCUCAGAGCUGCUGACGGAGAGGAAGAGACGGAAGAAGCAUCGGAAAAACAAACCAAGCACAGAAAGCGAGCAGAAAGCGGGCGAAAACGAAGACCCGCAGACAUCUCGGCAGACCCAAAAGACUAAAAAGUCUGCAUUUACUAAAAUGUGCCACUUUUUUGGGUUGAGGAAACAUAAAAAAAUGGAAGCCGAGCAGACAGGAAGAGGUUCUGGUGAAGUCAAGUGCAACCACCAACUAUCAGAGCUGUGGAGAUGGAGAGAAGAGGGAUGUGAAGGUCGAGAAGGUUCCUCUGGCUGA
Molecule: long non-coding RNA, 1827 nt
Filed under: Takifugu rubripes (torafugu)
Lineage: Eukaryota; Metazoa; Chordata; Actinopteri; Tetraodontiformes; Tetraodontidae
Description: lncRNA (ENSTRUG00000028668.1)
Source: RNAcentral